GGGGGUGUAGCUCAGUGGUAGAGCACUGGUCCAGCAUGUGUGAGGCCCUGGGUACAAUCCCAGCAACCCCC
RNAcentral lists this transfer RNA (71 nucleotides) under Marmota marmota marmota (Alpine marmot). It matches the Rfam family "tRNA". From Rfam's summary of the family: Transfer RNA (tRNA) molecules are approximately 80 nucleotides in length. RNAcentral also lists the same sequence under 3 other names. Lineage: Eukaryota; Metazoa; Chordata; Mammalia; Rodentia; Sciuridae. The record is from Rfam by way of RNAcentral.